UACGUAGGGUGCGAGCGUUAAUCGGAAUUACUGGGCGUAAAGCGUACGCAGGCGGCUUUGCAAGACAGGUGUGAAAUCCCCAGGCUUAACCUGGGAACUGCGUGUGAUACUGGAUGGCUUGAAUUCGGGAGAGGGAUGCAGAAUUCCAGGUGUAGCGGUGAAAUGCGUAGAUAUCUGGAGGAAUACCGGUGGCGAAGGCGGCAUCCUGGACCGACAUUGACGCUGAGGAGCGAAAGCUAGGGGAGCAAACGGG
Molecule: ribosomal RNA, 253 nt
Filed under: uncultured bacterium
Lineage: Bacteria
Description: partial 16S ribosomal RNA
Rfam family: Bacterial small subunit ribosomal RNA
Source: RNAcentral